AUGAACCUAUCAAUCUUUCUUCUGUAUGCAGGUUACACACCUGAUGAUGUUUACGGCGAGGCGCAGGAACAAGCAGAGGCCGAGGAAGUGCGGGCAUGCACGAGGAAGGUUCAGCGGGCUGCAGAAGUCGGGCCACGCCCGGAGAGCCGCGCCAACGCAUGUGUGCGUGGUCGGUGGGUUGGCCAAGAUCUGCAUUCUGCGACUUCUUCUUCACCAUGGACACAAGCAAGGACUGACUCGUGGGUCUUGGUAGCGGUGCCGAGCAUCAGUGAAUCGAAGUGGUCGAGGUCGCGGUUAAUCGACCAGGACGAGACAUGCAUCUUGGAGCUGGUGCAGAGGGGGAAAGAGGCUACUGGUGAAGUCAUGGCUGAAAAGGUUCUUGUGACGCCGCUGCUACUUGGUGCCCGACGCACCCAAGGCAUCAGUUGCCAUCCCUGUUCUCCCGGUGGCCCUCUCGUCAUGUGUUCAAUUGGUCGAGUAGUUCGUCACAGCCGCUGA
Molecule: ribosomal RNA, 498 nt
Filed under: Triticum aestivum (bread wheat)
Lineage: Eukaryota; Viridiplantae; Streptophyta; Magnoliopsida; Poales; Poaceae
Description: partial small subunit ribosomal RNA
Source: RNAcentral